GCAAGUCUGGUGCCAGCAGCCGCGGUAAUUCCAGCUCCAAUAGCGUAUAUUAAAGUUGUCGCAGUUAAAAAGCUCGUAGUUGAACCUCGGGAUCAAUGGAUCGGUCAUGCCAUCGGUAUGUACUGGUCUCAUUGGUUCUCACCUUCUAAGGAACCAUGAUGUCAUUCAGUUGAUGUUGUGGGGAAUUAGGACUGUUACCUUGAAAAAAUUAGAGUGUUUAAAGCAGGCUAACGCUUGAAUACAUUAGCAUGGAAUAAUGAAAUAGGACAUCGCAUUCUAUUUUGUUGGUUUCUAGGAUCGAUGUAAUGAUUAAUAGGGAUAGUUGGGGGCAUUAGUAUUCAAUUGUCAGAGGUGAAAUUCUUGGAUUUAUUGAAGACUAACUACUGCGAAAGCAUUUGCCAGGGAUGUUUUCAUUAAUCAAGAACGAAAGUUUGGGGAUCGAAGACGAUCAGAUACCGUCGUAGCCUUAACCAUAAACUAUGCCGACUAGGGAUCGGAUGAUGUUGAUUUUUUAAUGACUCAUUCGGCGCCUUACGAGAAAC
This 542-nucleotide ribosomal RNA is filed under the name uncultured Glomeromycotina. RNAcentral describes it as "SSU rRNA". It matches the Rfam family "Eukaryotic small subunit ribosomal RNA", at positions 555 to 1098 of the family's 1831-position model. Lineage: Eukaryota; Fungi; Glomeromycota. The record is from RNAcentral.